This 290-nucleotide ribosomal RNA is filed under the name uncultured Planctomycetia bacterium. RNAcentral's name for it is "partial 16S ribosomal RNA". It matches the Rfam family "Bacterial small subunit ribosomal RNA", at positions 794 to 1080 of the family's 1533-position model. The record is from RNAcentral. Lineage: Bacteria; Pseudomonadati; Planctomycetota; Planctomycetia.
UCCUAGCUGUAAACGAUGAGCACUUGUUCGAGGGGGCUUCCACACCCUCUCGGACGUAGCGAAAGUGUUAAGUGCUCCGCCUGGGGAGUAUGGUCGCAAGGCUAAAACUCAAAGGAAUUGACGGGGGCUCACACAAGCGGUGGAGGAUGUGGCUUAAUUCAAGGCUACGCGAAGAACCUUAUCCUGGUCUUGACAUGUUUAAGAAUCUUCCUGAAAGGGAAGAGUGCCUUCGGGAGCUUUUACACAGGUGCUGCAUGGCUGUCGUCAGCUCGUGUCGUGAGAUGGUCGGG